This 614-nucleotide ribosomal RNA is filed under the name uncultured bacterium. RNAcentral describes it as "bacterial SSU rRNA". It matches the Rfam family "Bacterial small subunit ribosomal RNA", at positions 338 to 956 of the family's 1533-position model. The record is from RNAcentral.
CCUACGGGAGGCAGCAGUGAGGAAUAUUGGACAAUGGGCGCAAGCCUGAUCCAGCCAUGCCGCGUGCAGGAAGACGCAUCUAUGGUGUGUAAACUGCUUUUGUACGGGAAGAAACACUCCUUCGUGAAGGAGCUUGACGGUACCGUAAGAAUAAGGAUCGGCUAACUCCGUGCCAGCAGCCGCGGUAAUACGGAGGAUCCAAGCGUUAUCCGGAAUCAUUGGGUUUAAAGGGUCCGUAGGCGGUUUAAUAAGUCAGUGGUGAAAUCUGGUCGCCCAACGAUCAAACGGCCAUUGAUACUGUUAGACUUGAAUUACUAGGAAGUAACUAGAAUAUGUAGUGUAGCGGUGAAAUGCUUAGAUAUUACAUGGAAUACCAAUUGCGAAGGCAGGUUACUACUAGUGGAUUGACGCUGAUGGACGAAAGCGUGGGGAGCGAACAGGAUUAGAUACCCUGGUAGUCCACGCCGUAAACGAUGGAUACUAGCUGUUGGGCGCAAGUUCAGUGGCUAGGCGAAAGUGAUAAGUAUCCACCUGGGGAGUACGUUCGCAAGAAGUAGUUAAGUUAAAUAGUUAGUUAGUAGNGNGNGAGNGCGAGGACGACGACGAGGAGGAGG